This 461-nucleotide non-coding RNA is filed under the name Pongo abelii (Sumatran orangutan). Lineage: Eukaryota; Metazoa; Chordata; Mammalia; Primates; Hominidae. The record is from RNAcentral.
AAAUACACUGGGGGAAGGGGGUGGAUCCAGUGGUGCGCCCGGAAUGAACUGACCCAAGUGAGCUGGGACAUGUGCAUACAGACAGCAGGGAGACAGGCAGAAGUCAAGGAACUGGAGGCUGAGGAACCCAGCGGACCACGAAAGCAGGGAGAUAACUAGACAGCAUGCUCGGCUGGAAGGACCAAAGUCAGAGAAGGAAAAAUGAAUAAGAAAAUGAGCAGUCAGAGGCAGGUAGGGUGACGGACAGACAGCAUGAAGCGCAGCAGAAUGAAUAGCCAGAAGACUCGGACAGGCAGAGCCGAAGGACCGCAGAGCUCAGCGCCGGAGACAUGAAAACUGAGGCCCAGACCAGCUAAGCAUCUUGAUCAUGGUCACCCAGAGCAACAGUGACGACCAGGAGAAAACUGAUUCCCAGGCCAGUGCUCUUUUGCUUCUGCUUGGUCAGAGAUGUGAGGUCCUUC